GGGGAUAACAGGCUGAUACCGCCCAAGAGUUCAUAUCGACGGCGGUGUUUGGCACCUCGAUGUCGGCUCAUCUCAUCCUGGGGCUGAAGCAGGUCCCAAGGGUAUGGCUGUUCGCCAUUUAAAGAGGUACGCGAGCUGGGUUUAGAACGUCGUGAGACAGUUCGGUCCCUAUCUACCGUGGGCGCUGGAAAUUUGAGAGGAUCUGCUCCUAGUACGAGAGGACCAGAGUGGACGAACCUCUGGUGUACCGGUUGUGACGCCAGUCGCAUCGCCGGGUAGCUAUGUUCGGAAGGGAUAACCGCUGAAAGCAUCUAAGCGGGAAGCCUACCUCAAGAUAAGAUUUCCCUAGGACUUUAUGUCCUCUAAAGAGCCGUUCGAGACUAGGACGUUGAUAGGUUGGAUGUGGAAGCAUAGUGAUAUGUGAAGCUGACCAAUACUAAUUGCUCGUGAGGCUUGACUAUACAACACCCAAGCAGUUG
This 479-nucleotide ribosomal RNA is filed under the name Acinetobacter baumannii. RNAcentral's name for it is "bacterial LSU rRNA". It matches the Rfam family "Bacterial large subunit ribosomal RNA", at positions 2470 to 2925 of the family's 2925-position model. Lineage: Bacteria; Pseudomonadati; Pseudomonadota; Gammaproteobacteria; Moraxellales; Moraxellaceae. The record is from RNAcentral.